RNAcentral lists this transfer RNA (75 nucleotides) under Candidatus Aphodovivens excrementavium. Its description in RNAcentral is "tRNA-Val". It matches the Rfam family "tRNA". From Rfam's summary of the family: Transfer RNA (tRNA) molecules are approximately 80 nucleotides in length. Their secondary structure includes four short double-helical elements and three loops (D, anti-codon, and T loops). Further hydrogen bonds mediate the characteristic L-shaped molecular structure. tRNAs have two regions of fundamental functional importance: the anti-codon, which is responsible for specific mRNA codon recognition, and the 3' end, to which the tRNAs corresponding amino acid is attached (by aminoacyl-tRNA synthetases). tRNAs cope with the degeneracy of the genetic code in two manners: having more than one tRNA (with a specific anti-codon) for a particular amino acid; and 'wobble' base-pairing, i.e. permitting non-standard base-pairing at the 3rd anti-codon position. Lineage: Bacteria; Bacillati; Actinomycetota; Coriobacteriia. The record is from RNAcentral.
GGGCGCUUGGCGCAGCGGGAGCGCAGGACCCUUACAAGGUCAAGGUCGGGGGUUCAAAUCCCUCAGCGCCCACCA